RNAcentral lists this ribosomal RNA (484 nucleotides) under uncultured bacterium. RNAcentral describes it as "partial 16S ribosomal RNA". It matches the Rfam family "Bacterial small subunit ribosomal RNA", at positions 29 to 507 of the family's 1533-position model. The record is from RNAcentral.
AUUGAACGCUGGCGGCAUGCCUUACACAUGCAAGUCGAACGGCAACACGGGAGCAAUCCUGGUGGCGAGUGGCGAACGGGUGAGUAAUACAUCGGAACGUGCCCAGUAGUGGGGGAUAACCCGGCGAAAGCCGGACUAAUACCGCAUACGACCUACGGGUGAAAGCGGGGGAUCGCAAGACCUCGCGCUAUCGGAGCGGCCGAUGUCAGAUUAGCUAGUUGGUGGGGUAAAGGCCUACCAAGGCGACGAUCUGUAGCUGGUCUGAGAGGACGACCAGCCACACUGGGACUGAGACACGGCCCAGACUCCUACGGGAGGCAGCAGUGGGGAAUUUUGGACAAUGGGCGCAAGCCUGAUCCAGCCAUGCCGCGUGCGGGAAGAAGGCCUUCGGGUUGUAAACCGCUUUUGUCAGGGAAGAAACGCUCCGGGCUAAUACCACGGAGUAAUGACGGUACCUGAAGAAUAAGCACCGGCUAACUACGUG